AUUUAUUGACAUGUAUCUUUAUUUAUAAGUUAAACGUGUAACUCGAUUAUAAUACCAAGUUUGUAGUGCUAAUUUAAUAUAAAAUAUUUUCGAAUCAGUGGCUUCACGAUGGCUACUACAGCGGAUAUUGAAAUUUCUAGGAAAUUAUCCAUACUGUCAGUUCUAAGUGAUAAAUUUGCAGAAGAACGAAAAGUAUCUCAUAAACAUGACAAUGAAAAAGGACCAAAAGAUUUUAUGUUUGCGGUACACAUCGCCUGUUUUUUUGUUGGAUUUAUGAAUGUUAUGCCACUGGUAUUUUUUAGUACAGCAAAUUCUUAUUGGAUGUACAAAUUUAGAAAUGUAACGCAAGGAGAUGAAAUAACAGAAGGACAAGAUCGAACUAGAUUGCAGGUAUAUUUCCAGCCUGCACUCAUGGCUGGUGGUACAAUACCAAUGGUAAUGUGUACAUUACUGUGGACAUUUUAUGGUCACAAGAUAGCAUCCAUGUUAAGAAGUCUGGUUGCGUUAGUGUUACUUGGUUUAGUGUUUGCCAUAUUUGCAAUAUUCACUCAAAUUAACACAGAUUCAUGGCAAACUGGAUUUUUUGCGUUAACUGUAAUUUUGUUAAUGUUAAAUAGUGCUGGACUAGCAACGUUUCAAAUGUCAUCAGUUAUAUUAAUUGCUAAAUUACCUCCAAGCUAUAUGUUCUGCUAUCUUAUUGGUCAAAAUGGAACAGUUCUGACUACCAGCUUACAGCUCGUUGCGGUGGCUGUUACCAACAACAGCAUCACAUCCGGAUUAAUUUAUUUUACUGCAGGAACCACGCUUAUAACAAUCUCGUUAAUAUUUGUUAUGAUUGCGAGAAGAUCACACGUUUUUAGAUAUUACGAGGUUGAAAAUAUAAAAGAUAAACAGGCUGAACACAUCAAUUUUGGCGAAAUGAAAAAGCUGAUAGUGCAAUUUUGGCCUGUCCUGGUAGUUAUUGGAAUUACGUUCUUCAUGUCUAGUUUCGUCCAUCCGUCGAUCACAACCUUAGUGGAAUCUGAAUAUGCAUACGAAAAGACUGUAUGGACACAAAAAUUUUUUACACCAGCGCUUGUUUUUCUACUAGCAGAAGUUUCAUCCAUAGUAGGAAGAGUAUUAUCUCACAGAUUUUCAAUUACGGUUUUAGACCAGCGACACUCAACCUUUUUCUUUCCUGAGCCACAUAGUAGCUAUUGCCACAGCUUGCGAGCCGCAAUCAAGAUGAAGUAGUAUACAGAGUGUUUAGUUGGGAAACGGAAAUACUUCAAUGGUGAAUAGAGCAUUCAAAUAAAUGGUGGUACAUACUGUUCUUGUUGGUAAGACUGAGUUUCACACCGUUUUACUUGUUCUGUAAUGCACAACC
RNAcentral lists this unclassified non-coding RNA (1366 nucleotides) under Diabrotica virgifera virgifera (western corn rootworm). Its description in RNAcentral is "equilibrative nucleoside transporter 3-like". Lineage: Eukaryota; Metazoa; Arthropoda; Insecta; Coleoptera; Chrysomelidae. The record is from RNAcentral.